UGGGGAAAUGAUCAUCUUGCCUGAGAUCCCGCUUGGAAGAAGAAUGCCUCCGUGAAGCAGACGAACCGACGUAGUCGAACGGGUCCUCACAAUCCGGCACGCUGCGGAACUCUAUCGAGACGAAGCAAACCGGAAACACAAAUCAACACACGGAAUUCACCACACGAUGCACAACACAUAUGAUGCAUGAGCAGUUGAAUACAUGCAAGUCACGACAUGACAAAUCACACAAUCAAACACUACACAUUAAGUAAAGUUCAAUAUGCAACGAGUUGCAUAUUGACGAAACUCCACAUACGAGUUAUUUAGUUCUAUCCCGAUUAGAUACACGGCAAUAUUAAAUGUGGUUAAUCAUGGCAAGAGAUGAAGCGGUGAUUCUACAUGUCAUCCUAGUCGGUUAACACAUGAAACAAAGAACGGAGCUACAUUCAAGAGGCAUGCACAACAGGAAGCACUAACUAAAAUGAUGCAUGUAUGCUCAAUCCCUAACUAUGCACUUACACCAACCUACGAGGUCAACAAGUGCCACCUCAACACAAAGUGACACUUCUGCAUAACUGCUCAUAACUGGAAUCCAGAGUCACCGUUGUAUUCAUUGGGUUCUUCUACCCCAAAUCCGUAUAUAACACUGCUAUAAAUGCGCGGAAAAACACCAAAAACAGCAAAGGAAAAACUACACAGGAUCAAACUACGCUAAUAACAAGAACAUGGGUUGUUCCUGAUAUGCCAGAUUUGACAUAUUCCUCUUCUGGAAUAUCCCAGAUUUGGAAAUACAUCACAAAACUAAACAAAACAAAAACAACAACAACAACAAAAAAAACAUAUAAACAUCAGGGGGUCCCACUGGUCAUACUCACCAGGGCCCCUUAUGGGUGUAUGCAAGUGGGCCAUACCCCCACAAUACACACACACCCCAACUACUGCGCCACACACCUAAAAAAAUAAAAUAAAAUGGGGUACAAGGGGAUUCGAACCCUGAACCUGGGGUACCAUAAGCACAACUCCACACCACUAUGUACUGCAGCACAGCUGACCAUAGAUGAGGACUUAACAUAGCUAAACUAACUCUACUGCUAGUGCAACAGGGAAAAAACGAAAUAAACAAAAGGGGGCGCCGGCGGGAUUUGAUCCCUGGACCUCACGAUUGCUAAAGAGCGCGCUGACCACUGGGAUACAAGCGAAUCAGUGAUGCAAAGAGGGGUUUCCGCGAGAUGAACCAUAUCCUGAGCUGAACCUGACGAACCUGAAAUGUGAAACAGAGAUAUCUCUGUUGCCAGGUCGGGAACGCAGCUCCUGUCCAUGGAGGGCAUGGACUCCUGCAAGAGAGAGAAGUCAGGGGGGAGAGGAGGCCAAGAAGAGAGGAGGGAGAAGCGCACGAGGGGGCGGGGCACCUGCCUGAGCAUGCGAGCACCACGCUCGCUCGAAGCAGCGGCGUCCUGCCUCUGCUCGUUUUAUGACGAACAAGAGCAGAGGAGAGCACCACGGAGGAUGACGCGCGUCACGGAUGGGCAGGAAGGCGAGCUCGAGUCGGAUCCAGAAGACCUUUGUGUCUCCGUUCCAUUCCCGGUGGUGGCGGCGUCUGGCACCGCGAGGCCGGCCGACGGGGAGCUUCUUGGGGAGGCAACCAUGGAGGCCUGCUGAAAGAAACGAGAGAGAGAUGAGACAGAGAGAGAGAGACAGGAAUAGAAGGAGGAGAGCAGGAAGAAGGAGAAGGGAGGGACCCGGGUCCGUCCUGCGGAGCUCUGGCUGCCGGCAACUUGCUGGAGCGACGGCGGGGUCGGCUUGGCUCGGGCUCGCGAGGAGAGGUGGAUCGCGCCGCUUGCUGGAGGCCAGGAUCGAGCACGGAGGCGCACGGGUGGAGCUAGCUGAACCACGGGCAUGGCUGUGGAUGGCUCGGAGGCAAAGCGAGGGCAAGAACAGGUGGGUUGCGACGCUAACUCUGGAGAAAAUCCCGAGGAGGGAGACACCGGGCGGCGGCAGGAGGAAGAGAAGGGGAAAAUGGAAGGAGGAGGGAACCCUAGGCCCGUCGGUUGCUCUAAUAUGACUAUAGGAGGAAGGGAGGGCCGUCUGAUUGAGCUCCAGGAGAUCAAUGGUGAUCCCCUGGUCCGUACAGGAGAUGACGUAGGAAGAAGAAGGUGUGGUGGGCUUGAUGGGCUGAGAUCAAACAGGUAAGAGAGUUGGGCCUGCUCUGAUUAUAUUCUACCUUAGCCAAUAAUUCAACAAACAGAUUUGGAGAAAAAGAAAACGAGAGGUAGAGAGAGAAAUAGAGUUGGAGAAAUAUUUUUGUGGAACCAUAAAAAUAUACUCUAUUUCAUAAAAUCGGUUUGGAAUUUUUACAGGAAACAAAUUCAAACAAGUUUGAUUUAAACUCAUGCUUGCCUGAAUUUAAAACCUAACCAAACCAAUGUCAAAUGGGAUGAAAUUUUGGAGGGUCACCCUACAUAAUUAAUAUGAUUUAUGGGAAUAAGAUGAACAUUUAAGAAGGAAGUAAAAAAAAUACCAAACAUAAUGAAUUAAAUUCGUUAUGUUUGAAUUCAAGCUCCCUUUUAAACGAACUAUGGAUGGGGUGACUUUUGAGAGGGUGGUUGGACAUAAAGCAAAGGAAUUAUGGGCAAAGUUGAAGGCAAGAAUUAAGAUAGGAAAGAAUGGUGUUAAAUUGCAAGUGUGUUAUGAUUAGAAUAGUUCAUUAUAGCCCCCUAAUAAUAUUGGGAGGAUAUGUUAUAUAGAGUAAUCACCAUGUGAAUCCCUUGAUUUAAAUAGAUCCAAGAUCCAUGCAAUUUAUUUAUUUGGGGUGCAGAAACAAAUUAAUGACAUGAUGAAUGCGACAAACAAACAAAAACACAUGGUCGCAAAGGAACAAAAGGGAAAUCUUCUGGAGCGUCGGUCUCGGGCUGUCACAACUCUCCUACACUACAAGAGGAUCUCGCCCCGAGAUCCAAGAAUGAAAGGGGGAGAGGAUGAGAAAGAACAAGAGGUAAAACUUAGUCGCUUCUUGACAAAGAAGUGACACCAACGAUCCUUGAAGGUAGCAAAGCGAUGAGGAAUGAUAUGAGAAGAUGGAAGAAUUCACGGAAAAUUUCGGCAGCACUUCGAUAGGAAAAUGGGACAAAAAAUUCGAUAAGAAGAGAGAAUUAGACAAUAUUCACAACCAACAACUAAAUAGAACAAGGGAACACCAUGAACUUGAUAGAACAACAAGAUAGACAUAAAAGAGCAAUAUUACAAUGCCUCCGGAACAAGAGAAUAUGAACUAGCUCAAGCGAAAGAAGAGAAUGAAGAAAAGAAUGACAACUAUCAUCACAAUAGAAUUGAAGAGCCUCCGGAUAGAGAAAUGAUAUAGUAGUUGGAAAACCAACAACGAAAAGUACAAGAUAGUAGUGGGCUUAUGAAAAUCGUCUCAGCAAAUAUAAGGUGACAACCAACCACUAAAAGAAACAAGGAUAGAUUGGGAGAAACAAGAUAUGAACAAUUCUUACACCAAGAGGAUGCAUUGAGAACUUAGAUUAAAGACAAGCACCAUGAUAGUACAAUCCCUAGGAAAAGCUUUAGGUGAAAUCCAAACCAAGAUAACUCAAUGAAGAAAUCAUGGGUUGAAAUAUCUCAACACCAUAGAAUCGGUGGGUUUAAUUAUCUCAUCCUUGAAAGGAAAACUCUCUGAGGCUCCUACACUAACAAGAAUGCUAUAAUACCACCUCAACGGAUAAAGGAAGAACAAUUGCACAUAGAAAUACAAGAGAAAGGAUACUUGAGGUUCUCCAACAAGAAUCUUGAAGAACACUUGAGAAUGGAUUGAAACCUUGAUGAACCACCGAGAAGGACCUCCGUAUACGAAUGAAUGAUGCAAAGAUAUCAAGGUAGAAAAGAAUAAGAUUAUGACCUUGCCAAGAUUUAGAUGAAGCCUCACAAAGAGAUACUUGAUAAAACUUGGAACUCUGGAAAAGAAAAGAUAAAAACACUUGAGAAAAGGAAUUGAUAUCAUGAGCCACUCCGGACGAAGAAUUGGGAUCACUUGAAAGAAGGAAGAACAAGAAUAAGAAUUAUGUUAUGCUUAUCCUUCAUCAAAUUAAAUUGAUGACAAGCAACGGAUUUAGCAUACAACUUAUUCUUCUGGAAAAGAUUAAAGAGAGAUAGAUAAAGCACAAACUAGAAGAAAUGUUGCAAGAAACACCGAUAAGAAUUCACAAUUGAAUGGGAACACCACGAAUUAAUGGAGAUACAUGAGAAUGAAGAGAACAUAAGCCACCUGAGAGAAAACUUGAACAAGGCACCGGAUAAACGAGAGACGAACGAAGAGACAACAAUGGAGAAGAAUUGAGGAUGAAAGCUGAAAGCUGAGAACGAAUAAUCUUCUGAAAUGAUGGCCUUCGGAGGAUCGAGAAAUAAAAAUAACUCAGAGAAGCACCGGAUAGCACGAAAGAGAUUACUCGUGAUUGGAACACAUAAGAUGAUGGCACAAAGCUGAAAUGAUGAAUCUGCAAGAGAAUGGACCAAGAUUCGAGAGAAACACUCCUUCGGUCUUGAAAGAAGAGAACGAUGAGAAGAACACCACCAAGAACACUGAGACAUUCCGGAACAAAGAAGAAUGAAAGGUUGAGCCAAUAUGAGAAUUAAUUCAAAUAGAACUUGGAGAAAGAAUAUGACUGAUGAAAAUCAUGCUUACGUCAUAGUUGAGAAGAAUUAGAGAUCUCCGGGAAAGAUUAAAAGAGCCAGGAAAGAUCCUGGGAAAGAACAUGUGGGUUAUGGGCCCACUCAAAGAAACCACCGAUGAAAAGAUUUUUUAGAACGAUAGAUAUUGCACCGGUAUGAAGAGAACUAGAUGAGGUUAGCACCCCGAAAUAAUUAAAUAAUUGAGAACAAGAAUUCUGAGAUAACUUCAACACUCCGGAUAGAAUAGAGAGAAAUGACAACAAGAAGAUAGACUGAUAAAAAUUUCCAACAUGGGAAAGAAUUACAAGGAUGAAAAGGAUAUGAUGACACGGACAACUGAAUUAAAUUCAUCGGUAAGGAAGACAAGAAUGAACAAAGAUGAACACGAAGCUCCUGAGAAUCUUCACGAUGAAUCACCGGAUAGGACACGGAAUAAAAAAUAGCUGAAGCACCAUGAAAUGAAUGCGCUUGGAUGAAAUCCAAUCAUCAUAGAAAAAGGGUGGGAGGGUGGGGAAAAACAAAGACGACUUGGGACAGAUGAGAUGAACUCCGGAUGAAAUGAGAGAACGAUCUUGCAAGAAUUGGAGAGGAUUGAAUCCACUUGGAGAGAAACACACCGGUUGAAUGGAAUUGAUACGACGAUCUGAUUGAGCAAAGAAUUUGCAUUCCCAUAAAAAUAUGAGAACACAGAUUAGGAAAGGUCUGAAAUCACCACUUGACAUCGGAGCAACUUGAAUUACCAUAGUUCAACAAAACAAAGGGUGUGGCUUACGAAACAAGCCAGAACAAACUCAUGAGAAAGAUUUCGUCCGAUAUUUUCGUGGACAGGAUCGCACGGGCUCGAUUUUACAAUAGCCAUCAAGUGCAAGGUAGUGCACCCGACAUACGAAGCGUCCCCGAGUCGUAGCAAGCUACAAGGAAUCUUUAAGACACAACGUGUACUGCUGUAAGUCGACCGUGAACAAACGAAUCCACUAGAUGUCGAACCCAACCUAACAUCAUGCAUUUGUUGGAAGAUUGUCCUAUAAGCAACUACUUGAAUUCCCACCUAUGAAUUCCCGAAAUGUCUGGUCAUGCAAUCUGGUACACGGAUACAAGGAGUAAUAAUCACACAACUCCUAUACUAACCCGUCACCUGUAUCACAUCCGUCAACACACAACCAGAAUCUCGGAACUUCAUCUACAACAGACCCUCGUGAUCACAACGAUACAAAGUAUGGCAGUACUCCCGAACAAUCUGCACCAGUACUGGAGACAUCGGGGUUAUCUCGCCACUACUAGUAUUGAAGCAAUUACGAACAUCCUUCGUUCUGAGAUACUAAGAAAUAUGAAUGAUAACGAUGUGCUCGAGAAUCCCCUGGAGCUCAACUCCCCUGAGACUUAGAGCAGAUAGGAGGCACCAAGACAGAACUCCGUCACAUCGGCAUCAUAUAGAUUCCAAAAAUAUCCGCGUGAUCCUAAAAAAAUUUUGAGUGAGAAGAGGAGUAGAAUAAAUUAUUACAUCAAGAUUCCUCACGAGAGCAUAGAAGAGGAGAAAAAGAAUCCUACUCUCCGAUAUAUAACUAGACUCAAAUAGUUUUUCACUAGACUCGACUCAGCCAAGUUCGAUCAAUCAAGGGGGCUCCUAGGUCGGUACUGCUCUGAUACCAACUUGUCACGCCCAAGAUGCGACCCUAUCCUCAAUUUGGCACGAAGGCCUUGUCAGGGAUAGAAGCGCAUCUCGUCGUGUCGCAAGAAUGGAUAUCGUUACAAGUACAUGUACUGAAAAGAAGAGAUAUAUAGAAAUUGGCUUACACUCGCCACAAGCUACAUCACAGUCACAUCAGUACAUUACAUAAUCAUCAAGAGCAAGAGCAGGGUCCGACUACGGACGAAAAUAAACGACAAAAGAAGAACGACGUCCAUCCUUGCUAUCCCAGGCUGCCGGCCUGGAACCCAUCCUAGAUCGAUGAAGAAGAAGAAGAAGAAGCAGCUCCAAAUGAACAAUCAACGCGGUCGCGUCAAGUAACCUUUACCUGUACCUUCAACUGGUGUUGUAGUAAUCUGUGAGCCACAGGGGGGGCUCAGCAAUCUCAUUUCCAAAGGUAUCAAGACUAGCAAAGCUUAAUGGGUGAGGCAUGGUUAAGUGGUGAGGUUGCAGCAGCGGCUAAGCAUAUAUUUGGUGGCUAACUUACGAGUACAAGAAAUAAGAGGGGGGAGAUCUACGCAUAACGGACGAGAACUACUCAUGAUCAAAUGAAUGAUCCUGAACACCUACCUACGUCAGACAUAACCCCACCGUGUCCUCGAUCGGAGAAGGAACUCACGAAAGAGACAAUCACGGUUACGCACACAGUUGGCAAGUUUUAAUUAAGUUAACUUCAAGUUAUCUAGAACCAGUAUUAAACAAAGUUUCCACGUUGCCACCUAACCGCGGGCACGGCUUUCCGAAAGAUUUAACCCUGCAGGGGUGCUCCAACUAGUCCAUCACAAAUUACCACAAGCCGCAUAGAAAUCCUCAAUCACGAAGCUCGCGAUCUCGUCGGAUUCCCUAGUGGAAAACCUCAACUCUGAGAUUACCCAAAGCAUCACCGGAAUCCCGAUGCACAAGAUAUCUCGUCAAAGGUAAAAGUAAUCCAGCAAGGCCGCCCGACGUGUCGACGAUCCCGAUAGGAGUCGCGUACCUCGUUCUCAGGACACGACGGAUGAGCGAUGGUUACCACGCCAAACGCCGAGUUGCCCCGGGUAGCGUUAAUAAGCUGCUCUGUUUUGGACCAACACUCAUGAGGAGCACUGGCCCGGGGGUUGAUUAAAAUAGUCCGCGGGUGCCGGCGGGUCCCUAUGCAAUUUUUAUUAGGUGAUUAGGCAAAUAUAGUACCAAUGUUGGGCCUUGCCAGACCAGCUUUAAUCUAAAACGAAUUAUCAAGGGGGUCCCCAUAACAACCCCGAUCGUGUUAGGAGCGCUCAUUUAUGGAACAUAACACCGGUAGCCGGAAACUAAAGGGGAAAAGGUGGAACAAAACACCAGGCUAGAAAAGGGCCGAGCCUUCCACCUUUUACCAAGUAUAUAGGUGCAUUAAAUUAAAUAGAAAUUAAUAUGGUGAUAUAACAAGGAACCCAUGCUUUCACAUGGAAGCAAUGCACCUGCAACUAGCAAGGCUAACACAGGAUUAAGCAAGCAGUAACAUAGCCAAUCAGUGGUUUGCUAGGUUGAACAGGUUGAAGGUUAACAUGGCAUUGUUGAGAGGCUGACAUUUAACAGGUGGUAGGCAACGAGACAUAAUCGAUAGAAGCGAUAAAACUAGCAUGGCAAUGAUAGUAAUGGUAUCUGGGGAAAUGAUCAUCUUGCCUGAGAUCCCGCUUGGAAGAAGAAUGCCUCCGUGAAGCAGACGAACCGACGUAGUCGAACGGGUCCUCACAAUCCGGCACGCUACGGAACUCUAUCGAGACGAAGCAAACCGGAAACACAAAUCAACACACGGAAUUCACCACACGAUGCACAACACAUAUGAUGCAUGAGCAGUUGAAUACAUGCAAGUCACGACAUGACAAAUCACACAAUCAAACACUACACAUUAAGUAAAGUUCAAUAUGCAACGAGUUGCAUAUUGACGAAACUCCACAUACGAGUUAUUUAGUCCUAUCCCAAUUAGAUACACGGCAAUAUUAAAUGUGGUUAAACAUGGCAAGAGAUGAAGCGGUGAUUCUACAUGUCAUCCUAGUCGGUUAACACAUGAAACAAAGAACGGAGCUACAUUCAAGAGACAUGCACAACAGGAAGCACUAACUAAAAUGAUGCAUGUAUGCUCAAUCCCUAACUAUGCACUUACACCAACCUACGAGGUCAACAAGUGCCACCUCAACACAAAGUGACACUUCUGCAUAACUGCUCAUAACUGGAAUCCAGAGUCACCAUUGUAUUCAUUGGGUUCUUCUACCCCAAAUCCGUAUAUAACACUGCUAUAAAUGCGCGGAAAAACACCAAAAACAGCAAAGGAAAAACUACACAGGAUCAAACUACGCUAAUAACAAGAACAUGGGUUGUUCUUGAUAUGCCAGAUUUGACAUAUUCCUCUUCCGGAAUAUCCCAGAUUUGGAAAUACAUCACAAAACUAAACAAAACAAAAACAACAACAACAACAACAAAACAUAUAAACAUCAGGGGUUCCCACUGGUCAUACUCACCAGGGCCCCUUAUGGGUGUAUGCAAGUGGGCCAUACCCCCACAAUACACACACACCCCAACUACUGCGCCACACACCUAACAAAAUAAAAUAAAAUGGGGUACAAGGGUAUUUGAACCCUGAACCUGGGGUACCAUAAGCACAACUCCACAGCACUAUGUACUACAGCACAGCUGACCAUAGAUGAGGACUUAACAUAGCUAAACUAACUCUACUGCUAGUGCAACAGGGGAAAAAAUGAAAUAAACAAAAGGGGGCGCCGGCGGGAUUUGAUCCCUGGACCUCACGAUUGCUAAAGAGCGUGCUGACCACUAGGAUAGAAGCAAAUCGGUGAUGCAAAAAGGGGUUUCCGCGAGAUGAACCAUAUCCUAAGCUGAACCUGACGAACCUGAAAUGUGAAAUAGAGAUAUCUCUGUUGCCAGGUCGGGAACGCAGCUCCUGUCCACGAAGGGCAUGGACUCCUGCAAGAGAGAGAAGUCAGGGGGGAGAGGAGGCCGAGAAGAGAGGAGGGAGAAGCGCACGAGGGGGUGGGGCACCUGCCUGGGCAUGCGAGCACCACGCUCGCUCGAAGCAGCGGCGUCCUGGCUCUGCUCGUUUUCUGACGAACAGGAGCAGAGGAGAGCACCACGGAGGACGACGCGCG
This 9453-nucleotide long non-coding RNA is filed under the name Hordeum vulgare. RNAcentral's name for it is "long non-coding RNA (HVUL_LNC017925)". The record is from RNAcentral. Lineage: Eukaryota; Viridiplantae; Streptophyta; Magnoliopsida; Poales; Poaceae.